GACGAACGCUUGCGGCGUGCCUAAGAAAUGCAAGUCGAGCGAGCUCAAGCCUUCGGGCGGAAAGCUAGCGGCGAACGGUCGAGUAACACGUGAGCAACCUGCCCCAAAGCGGGGGAUAGCCCACCGAAAGGUGGAUUAAUACCGCAUGUGGCCGUUCCGGGGCAUCCCGGGACGAUUAAAGCAGCAAUGCGCUUUGGGAUGGGCUCGCGGCCUAUCAGCUUGUUGGUGGGGUAACGGCCUACCAAGGCUACGACGGGUAGCUGGUCUGAGAGGAUGGUCAGCCGGAUUGGAACUGAGACACGGUCCAGACUCCUACGGGGGGCAGCAGUGGGGAAUCUUCCACAAUGGGCGAAAGCCUGAUGGAGCGACGCCGCGUGAGCGAAGAAGGCCUUCGGUUGUAAGACUCUGUCUGGAGGGACGAAGGAAGUGACGGUACCGUCCGGACGGAAGGCCACGGCUAACUACGUGCCAGCAGCCGCGGUAAUAGUACACGUCG
RNAcentral lists this ribosomal RNA (496 nucleotides) under uncultured bacterium. RNAcentral describes it as "bacterial SSU rRNA". It matches the Rfam family "Bacterial small subunit ribosomal RNA", at positions 28 to 536 of the family's 1533-position model. The record is from RNAcentral.